Molecule: non-coding RNA, 2249 nt
Organism: Salmo salar (Atlantic salmon)
Lineage: Eukaryota; Metazoa; Chordata; Actinopteri; Salmoniformes; Salmonidae
Source: RefSeq, a predicted model, not a curated record
GCAGGUCUUUAAAGGUUACCUCUCAACCCAGCCCCUUUGUCUCCCCAGCAGGUCAUUAAAGGUUACCUCUAAACCCAGCCCCUUUGUCUCCCCAGCAGGUCAUUAAAGGUUACCUCUAAACCCAUCCCCUUUGUCUCCCCAGGUCUUUAAAGGUUACCUCUAAACCCAGCCCCUUUGUCUCCCCAGGUCAUUAAAGGUUACCUCUAAACCCAGCCCCUUUGUCUCCCCAGCAGGUCAUUAAAGGUUACCUCUAAACCCAGCCCCUUUGUCUCCCCAGCAGGUCUUUAAAGGUUACCUCUGAACCCAGCCCCUUUGUCUCCCCAGCAGGUCAUUAAAGGUUACCUCUAAACCCAGCCCCUUUGUCUCCCCAGGUCUUUAAAGGUUACCUCUAAACCCAGCCCCUUUGUCUCCCCAGCAGGUCAUUAAAGGUUACCUCUAAACCCAGCCCCUUUGUCUCCCCAGCAGGUCUUUAAAGGUUACCUCUAAACCCAGCCCCUUUGUCUCCCCAGGUCUUUAAAGGUUACCUCUAAACCCAGCCCCUUUGUCUCCCCAGCAGGUCUUUAAAGGUUACCUCUAAACCCAGCCCCUUUGUCUCCCCAGCAGGUCUUUAAAGGUUACCUCUAAACCCAGCCCCUUUGUCUCCCCAGGUCUUUAAAGGUUACCUCUAAACCCAGCCCCUUUGUCUCCCCAGCAGGUCAUUAAAGGUUACCUCUAAACUCAUCCCCUUUGUCUCCCCAGCAGGUCUUUAAAGGUUACCUCUAAACCCAGCCCCUUUGUCUCCCCAGGUCUUUAAAGGUGAAUUUCAGCUCCCUGAGUUUCUAAGAGAACAAUCUCAGCUUCAGAAGACUCCAGAGAAACCUAACCCCAGUUAGGAGGAGCAGCCAACACGCCACACAGAAGGUGGAAAUAGAUGCAGCUAGAGGACAGGCUGAUGGCACCGAUGGACAGACAUCCAAUAGACUCACCACCACUUUUUGUGGACCUCAGUACUCUUCCAUGAACACACACACAAACACAUACGCUAUAUAUACAAAAGUAUGUGGACAUCGCUUCAAAUUAGUGGAUUGGGCUAUUUCAGCCACACCCGUUGCUGACUGGUGUAUAAAAUCAAGCACACCUCCAUGCAAUCUCCAUAGACAAACAUUGGCAGUAGAAUAGCCUUACUGAAGAGCUCAGUGAAUUUCAACGUGGUACUGUUAUAGGAUGCCACCUUUCUCAAAUUUCUGCCCUGCUAGAGCUGCCCCGGUCAACUGUAAAUGUUGUUAUUGUGAAGUGGAAAUGUCUAGGAGCGUCAACGUCACAGCCACGAAAUGGUAGGCCACACAAAGGUCACAGAACUGGACCGCCGAGUGCUGAAGCGCUUAAAAAUCGUUGCAACACUCACUCACGAGUUCCAAACUGCCCCUGGAAGCAACGUCAGCACAAGAACUGUUCGUCGGGACCUUCAUGAAACGGGUUUCCAUGGCAGAGGAGCCGCACACAAGCCUAAGAUCACCAUGCGCAAUGCCGCGUGUCGGCUGGAGUGGUGUAAAGGUUGCCGCCAUUGGACUCUGGAGCAGUAGACCAACUUCAUAUUAAUGCCCAUGAUUUUUGGAAUGAGAUGUUCUACGAGCAGGUGUCCACAUACUUUUGGUCAUGUAGUAUACAUUCACACAGUAUUGUAUCCCAUCAUGACUGGAUAUAACCGUUUUCCACACUGGCUUUGUGGAGAACUCUCUUGGCCUUUUUGAUGUUCGUAAUGUAAACAAAUGAUACAUUUGUCACAAAAUGGUGACCAGAGAAUGUCAAUGUUACUGUUAUGUUUCUAUCUUUCUUGUCGAGGGUUGCAAAAUUACCCCAAUUUCCUAGAUUUUCGAAAAAUCCCAGUUUGGAAGAUUCCUGAGAUCCUACAACCAGGAUUUCUGGAAAACCAUGGACAUUUUUAGAAAGUUACCAGAAUUUUGAAAAACUAUUCUCGUGACCCCAUGUUCAUUCAUCCUCAUUUGUUUUUCUUCUUUUAAAUGAUUUCUCCUGGCUAUAUAUAUAUAUAUACACAUCUGUGAUUCUGUUGUAAGAAAAUACAGUGGACUUAAACAUCAAAAAAAGUGACUAAUGUAUUUAUGGAUGACAUUUUGCUUUUUGAAGAUGCAAUAUCUAUUUUAAUGUUUUCAUUUUUGUUUUUCAUGCCUUUCUAUCGUGCAAUUCCAUGGGUACUGAUGUACAAGAUCUGUUUUUAAGUAUUGACAGUGAUAAAGAUGGCAUUUUGUAAA